This is a long non-coding RNA of Agelaius phoeniceus (red-winged blackbird), 191 nucleotides long. RefSeq lists it as uncharacterized. The record is from RefSeq and is a predicted model, not a curated record. NCBI's taxonomy places the organism in Eukaryota, Metazoa, Chordata, Aves, Passeriformes, Icteridae.
CAUCAUGAACUCCUGACAAGAUCAGCAAACUUGAAGAAAAGGACAAAAUGGAUAACUGAUGCACCUGGACCAAUAGCAAGAGACAGCAAGAGGCUCUGGAGGAAGAAGUAGAACUGGCAUGUAGGAGUAAUAUGGAUUCCUGUUUUGCACCUCAAUGAAAUAAUUAAUUGCUUACAAGAGCAAGAAGAAAG